Molecule: RNA transcript, 4820 nt
Organism: Planococcus citri (citrus mealybug)
Lineage: Eukaryota; Metazoa; Arthropoda; Insecta; Hemiptera; Pseudococcidae
Gene name: podocan-like protein 1
Exons: 7
Source: RefSeq, a predicted model, not a curated record
GAGAUCCUACUGAAACUGUAAAGUAGGUAUUGUGUGCGUGUGUGUAUCGUGGCUGUUACUGUUCUUCAGCGUCGCGCUUGGCUCGAACGGUGUGUUUUGUGGCGUAAGUAAAGCUGUUGCUUUGAUUUAUUCUGAAAUACUUCAUCGAUUAGUAGUGUUAUCGUUUUCGAAUUAAUGAUUUUACUUCCACGUUUUCAGUAUUUCGUUUCGUUUGUUCGUUAAUUGUUAAGUGGUGUGUUGGAAACUGAUUUUGAACGACUGCUCUGAAUCAAAAAAAUCCAUUUUUUAAACAAGAUGAUCGUUGAAUAAUUUGGCCAACUCAAUGAACUCAGUGUGUAUCGAUGUGGGUUUUGUAUGCCUCAUAUUAUUGCUGGCAACAAAUCCAUUGGCUGGUCAAAGCAGCACGUGCAGAUAUGGAAAACAACAUGGAUACUUCGCUGCUGAAUGCAGUGGUAUGAAUUUAUGGGACGUACCUACUUUACAAUCGACUGAUAUCGAGGCACUCGAUUUAUCAAACAAUCGUCUCCGUGCUUUAAAAAACAACACUUUAAAAUGUUGCACUUCGAUCAAAUUCCUGUACCUUCAAAUCAACGGUAUUUUAAACAUCGAAGCAAAUGCUCUUCAACCACUUACAGAAUUAAACGUUUUGGAUCUCAGUUGGAACGGUUUCGAUAAAUUGCCUACGGCCGUAUCGCCUACGUUACGUAAAUUGUACCUAGAAGGUGUUCCCAAGUUAUUCGAAAACUUACAAAACAACGAGUUUAAAAUAACGCAUUUGAAAAAUCUCGAGAGUCUCACAAUUUCUGCCAAUGAAUUAAAGAAAUUUCCGUCCUUCGGUGGUUCGGUUCCUAGUCUGUUAGAGUUGAACAUAACAGACAACUAUAUCGAAGAAAUAACUCCCGAUGAUUUAGCACCUUUAUGCCAAUUGAAGUUUUUACACGUGGGACCAGAUACGUUGUUCAUGAAUAAGGAUGCGAAAACAUUAUGCCAAUGUAUGAAAUUAGCAAAUUGGACGUCCGCGUAUAAUAUUCAAGUUUCAUCGUUUACCUGUAAAUACGAUAAGUCGACCAUACUAGACAAAUGCGACUUAAGACCAUCGAAUGUAACUUUGGCGAAACGCGAAGCAUGUCUGACCGAGAUGAAAAAUCGUCAAAUUCCGUAUUGGUUGAUGAUCGGAGGCGGUAUUUUGGCGGCGAUAACAUGCAUUUGUAUUUUAUUAUACGUCCGUUAUCGACGUCGGCAGCGAGAAUCCGCCAAAAACGGACACGACCGUAAUUCGGCCGUGAAGUAUGACAAUAAAGGCGACGAAAAGUAAUUACCUACGAAUACCUAAUUCCAUUACUUACGAUAAGUCGAUCAAUUUUAAGAUUUUUUUUCGUCUCGUUAUACGAAAACGCUCAUCGUCUCUCUAUAAGACACGGUGACACUAGGCUUGGGGCAUUAAAGCGAUGACGCUUUGUUUAAACAACGAUGCGGAAUCACUCUCAUUAUAAUAGCAAUGAACGGCCCGAAGAGGAUAAACUUUUGAAGCAGUGAUAAUGAAUGCAUGCUGUAUUAACACAAUUUUGGGGUUUUCGGUGUUCGCAUUUACUCUAUAAUACACUUCUCGUGUGUUUGUACAAAGAAAAAAAAAUUCAAACCAAAAUAUACGCCAAAUCAAUUAAUACUUAUCUUAGGUUUUGUUUUUGAAUUAAUUUGUUUUACGCAGUGGUGUUAAUCCUGCUUUUAAUGGCUACCACGGAGGAGGAGGUCGCGGAGUUGAAACAACUGUUUAGCCUACAGAUAUGGACGUCUUCUCUUGUACUGCUGGCGAAACUUUCUACAGGAUACGGAACGACUCCUUCAGACACCGCUUUAUUUUUAUUAUUUAUUGUGUAUUGUGUAUUUGUAAAUUUAUUUACGAAAUUUCGAAUCUCUAUCCAUAUAUUUUUUUCAAUGAACUGGGUGAAGUUCAAGAACUAGUCAAACGAUUAUUAUUUUUUUUAUAUAUAUGUAUUACAGAAAUGUAUACUCUUGUGUAUUCUCCCCCUCCCCUUCUUUGAAUUUUUUCCUCUUUUGUUUUGUCACGUUCAUUUUACGUAUCAAGUUAAGUUUGUAUGUAUAAUUUAAUUGUUGCAUUUAAUUAAGAACGUAACGUUAUACUAUUUUAUGUGUAUAUGGACACAAGAAUUCACCCUAUUUCACAAAAUUUUCUGUGUCACGUGAUGAGCAAGCGAUUCCGUCGUAUAGCUUUGGCAAUUUUUUUUCUUUUUUGUUCUACUCUCCUUUGGAUAAUUAGUUACCAAUUCAACAGUCGAAGUGUUCACCCGUUUCAAUGUUACUGGUCACUGUUCAGUCUAAAAAUAAUGUUUUCAAGUGCCUGAAAUAUCUGUACUCAUAAGGGAACAAUACGACAAUAAUUUGGCAUAUGUAAGCGGUGGUACAAAUAUGCUAAUUUUUUCUUUUUCAACCCGACCGACGAAUAUAUUAAACGGAUGAACGAGGUUACCUGUAUGAUGAACUUGAUGUGUAGAUAUGAUAACAUGUGUAGUGUAUAAAGUAGAUAACGCGGGUCGUUGUGUAAUUAAUAUUGUUUGAUGAAAUGAGGUGUGAAUAGUGUUGUAUCAUUGAAAAAGAUACAAUCUAAAAAAAGUGGUAAUUUUUUAACGUAAUUUUGGUGCUUUUUGUUUAUGGAGUAGAGUAAGUGUUGCGAAAAGUUUCUGAUUGUUGGAAUCAGGAUUUUAUCAUAAAAUGGACAUUUUUUUCAUACUUUUUCGAUUUAUUCGAAGAUCAGUAUUUACUUACCUAAAAGGUUGUCGUACCGCUGCAAAAGUAUUCCAAAUUGAUGUGUUCAUUAAAUUAAGAAGCGUAUGUCAACAGCUUCAUUUCAUUUAAAUUUUUGUGGUCCAUUUAUCAAUUUUUUUCAUUCGUGUAAAAUUUUACAACUUUGGAAGUUAUAAGUGCCAUUUUAUUUUUUUUAUUCGUUUCAGAAUAAAUGUGCUAAUUUUAAUGAAAGUAAGGAAAAUUAUUCAAAUAAUUCAUAAUGAGCAAUUUUUGAAAUGCAAAUGAAGUUAAGAUGGAUCAUUUUUUUUUGUAUUUCAUUUUUUAAAAAUUGUAUUCAUUUUAAACGCUGUAAAUUGAAAUUUGAUUAUGAUAAAGUACUUAUGUAUAUGUACCAUUGAAAAAAAAAACUUCUGGUGAACAAUUUUGCUUAGUUUGAAAAUUGAAAAAGCAGCAACCGACUAUUGAAGAAGUUUUGAAAACAAUGAUCAUGAAUUUAAAGUCCCUUUAAUUUGCAAAAUGAAAAAAAAAAAAUCAUGUGAUCUAAUUUUACUCACUCCGUGUCAUACUACCCAUUCCUAUGAUCAAAAAUUCAUUUUAAUCUUCUUUUCUUUUUGCUCGGUGGCUGUUCCUUCUGUUUUCAAACUAAACUAUAUCAUGUUUUUCUGAAGUUGAAAAUUUGUUGUGAACUACUUAUCACAUUGUUUCGAUAUCUAAAUAAUUGCAAUUUUUAACCCUACUUUCAUUCACACUGAAAAAAAAAGGAAAAAAACAAGAUUCGAUCCAUCUUGAUUUAGAAAUUCUUUCGAAGGCAAUAGUUAUUUUUAGAAUUUGAUCUCGUUACAGCAAAUAAUUGGAAAAUAUUGAAAAUUACGGGCCAGUGAUAGACAUGGCCGUUAUGUAAAUUAAAAAAGUAAUAUUCGAUCUCAUUUUUGAUUGGCCUACAGCCUAAUGCUUAUUUUCAUCCAUCUAUCACUCAGAUAGGAUAUAAAAUCGAUUACUUUAUUUUGUAUUAAUAGAAAAUGUUCAUGAGUACGAAUUGAACGUUAUCGUCGAGUAUAUUGGAAAUACUUUAAUUUUAAAAUUACGUCAUCAAGUAAAAAGAACAUACGAUUUUGUAAAACUCAUAAACUAAAGUCGAUUAAGUAAGAGGAAAAUAUACUGUAAGAUGAUAGCAUUUAUGCGAGAGUGGUAUAGAAUUAUCGAUAAAAUCAAUUUUUUUUUAAAUGAACAUUCCAUAGUUACAGAAGUCUCGAUAAUGUAAAACUCAAUUUCAACCGAGAAUCGAGAAAUCAUAAUAUUUACCUACGUAAAAUAAAAUAUUUGUACAUGCUGAGGCACUUUUCCAGCAUAUGUAAAAAUAUUACUAAUGUGGCCGAAUCAGCUAAGCUUUCAAAUACAAAUAUAAAUUAAUAUACUACCUAAGUUACAUUUUAAUAGGUACCUUCUACCUUGGUAUCGUAAAUUGAUCAUUGAAGUAUUAUGAUGUUAAACAUCCAGUGCCAUUUUAGAGUAUUUUUUUUUUUAUUAACAGGGUAUAUUUUUUUUGCAUUUAAAACCAGGAAUGUAAGUAUUUUCCAUUUUGAAUGUAAAAAAGAAUUGAAACGGUUACCUGUGCUAGAAUUUUCGCUUGUUGCUUCGGUUUUUAUUUUCCUUUUUUUUUUUUGUCUCGUUUUCCAAAUCUACAUGGAACUGGAAAUGUUGACUUAUGACUUAUAAAAUAUGCCAAUGUACCUAUACCUAUACAAUUGUGUUUUUAUUAUUAUGUAUUUCGUAUACAUCUUGAAAACGCGGCAGAGUCAUUAAUUAUGCAUUAAGCUUGAAUAGCAUCGCCUGUUUUAUUCAUUUAUGUAUUUUGUGUACUUAAUUUUUCCUGUUUUCUUAUUUAUUUAUUUUUUCGCUAUUUAUUAUUAAUUGUUAAUGUGUUUUUUGUGUAUGUUUUCGUAUGUGUAUGUAUUUUACGAAUUUUUUCGUUAUCGAUAUUCAAGCUACUUAAUUCUUUUUGUAAAUUCGUGACAUUUUGCAUUACAUCGAAAUAUAUUUAAUUUUCACUUCGUAAA